UGAAGGGACUGGGUUGGGAUUGAAGAUGCUGGUCCUGUUUUCAUUAGGAUGGAUAGGUGCCAUUGAUGUUUCCCAGACGCUCCUGCGGCCCCAUUCCUCUCCUUGAAUCCCUGGCGCCGGGUGUACCGUGCUGGUGACUCCGUGGGACUCGUGUGUUCAACACCCUCUUCGGUGGACAGGGUUAAAGGUUUCCAGUACUUUGGAGAUAGAAUAGCUGUGUUAGCGCUGGCUUCAUCCAAGAGCAGCUACAUCUACAACUUGAAUAUCACUGGACCAACGGUAUUUGGGUCGUACAGCUGUUCAUACUGGGUACGUCUGUCCGGACGGAAUGUCCCAGCCAGGAGGAGUGAGCCAGUGGUCAUCAGCAUGAGAGCCCACCCAGGCAGCUGGUCCCUGGAGUUGGCCGUGGGGGGCUCAUUCUUCACCCUCAACAGCCUCAUCUUCCUCGUCACCUACUUCCUGAUAAAGCGCGAAGGAUCCUAGGAGAAUCACAGGAUGGAGAUCCAAGCCUGAAGAAGAACCUCCAAAGGUCUUUAGCAUGAAUCUUUUCAAGCUGUCUGUGAUGCUGAGGCCCAAUCAAUCUUUCCCGCUCCCUGCCUCAGUUUCCCCAUCAGACAAAUGGUGUUCAUGAUCUUCAGCUUCAAUCUGGGGUGUUGUGAAGCUUAACAUAUUUGCUUUGAAUAUUCUGCAGGUCUCUUCCCUGGUCAUGUGCUUUAGAGCCCUGUGCAGCACCGAGAAUGCAACACAAAAUAUAUUUUAGCCUGCUGUUGUAAUCCUCCGAGUCACAACACUGCCGUUGGUUCCACUGCUGAUGUGGGAGCCACUUCUAAACAGAAAGAAAGAAGGAAAGAAAGCUGACCUUUCUUCUCCUUUUCCAGAUCCCAUCUGCCACUCGUUUCCAAGCUGUAUGGAUUCCUGUAAACUCCCCUCCCUUCCUGCUUCAUAAUUAAAGUUUACUCCAACCCACUUCAGUCUCUGUCUCAUCGAUGGACCUGGUAUUUGUGUGCUCUCUCACACGGUUUGUGUCAUAUCCUCCGCAUUGCCAGCAGAUGGGGAGAUUCUCCCCCCACUUUG
RNAcentral lists this long non-coding RNA (1074 nucleotides) under Chrysemys picta bellii (western painted turtle). RNAcentral's name for it is "lncRNA (ENSCPBG00000001161.1)". Lineage: Eukaryota; Metazoa; Chordata; Testudines; Emydidae. The record is from RNAcentral.